UACGAAGGGGGCUAGCGUUGCUCGGAAUUACUGGGCGUAAAGGGCGCGUAGGCGGACAGUUAAGUCGGGGGUGAAAGCCCGGGGCUCAACCUCGGAAUUGCCUUCGAUACUGGCUGUCUUGAGUGUGAGAGAGGUGUGUGGAACUCCGAGUGUAGAGGUGAAAUUCGUAGAUAUUCGGAAGAACACCAGUGGCGAAGGCGGCUCACUGGCCCGUUACCGACGCUCAGGCGCGACAGCGUGGGGAGCAAACAGG
This 253-nucleotide ribosomal RNA is filed under the name uncultured bacterium. Its description in RNAcentral is "partial 16S ribosomal RNA". It matches the Rfam family "Bacterial small subunit ribosomal RNA", at positions 524 to 776 of the family's 1533-position model. The record is from RNAcentral.